Molecule: long non-coding RNA, 590 nt
Organism: Neofelis nebulosa (Clouded leopard)
Lineage: Eukaryota; Metazoa; Chordata; Mammalia; Carnivora; Felidae
Exons: 3
Source: RefSeq, a predicted model, not a curated record
AGAGCAGAUAAAAAAAAGGGCCAGCCAGAUGUCCGAGGCCGAUACUCCCUUUGCAUGCUUUUGGCUUCUGUAAUCUGGCUUGCCCCUUAUAUCAGCCGGCAGCCAGGAACCAGAAGCUUGACUGUACUAGUCCUGCCCAACCUGGAAGCACACAUAUAUAAAGGAUCAGUAAAACCCAGCAGGUGCUCAGCCUUUGGAGGUGACUCUGCUGGGCCAGUACUGGUGUGAAAGAAAUAUUCUUUUCUGAUUCCCCAAGUGCGCGUCGCUUGUCUCUUCCUGGGGGCCGAGUAUUUGCUGUAACAAUAUGACCUCAAAGAACCAGCUUUCUGGGCUUGUGGAGGCAGAGGAGGAAGAGGAGUUCUACCAGAUGGCAUCUGGGGGUUUCACAGAAGAAUCUGGAGGUAGGCUUCACGCCCAGCACAGAGCCCAACUUGGAGCUUGAACUCAAGACCCUGAGAUCAAGACCUGAGCUGAGAUCAAGAGUCGAAUGCUUAACUGCUGAGCCACCCAGGAGGUGUACCCAAAGUCCCGUGUCCGGAUUUUGAAUGAGUGCUUCAUUUCAGGAUCAAUUACCUUAAGCUUCCCACAAA